RNAcentral lists this ribosomal RNA (601 nucleotides) under uncultured Dechloromonas sp. RNAcentral's name for it is "bacterial SSU rRNA". It matches the Rfam family "Bacterial small subunit ribosomal RNA", at positions 11 to 605 of the family's 1533-position model. Lineage: Bacteria; Pseudomonadati; Pseudomonadota; Betaproteobacteria; Rhodocyclales; Azonexaceae. The record is from RNAcentral.
GUUUGUAUCAUGGCUCAGUAUUGAACGCUGGCGGCAUGCCUUACACAUGCAAGUCGAACGGCAGCACGGACUUCGGUCUGGUGGCGAGUGGCGAACGGGUGAGUAAUGCAUCGGAACGUACCCGGAAGUGGGGGAUAACUAUCCGAAAGGAUGGCUAAUACCGCAUAUUCUGUGCGCAGGAAAGAGGGGGAUCUUCGGACCUCUUGCCUUCGGAGCGGCCGAUGUCAGAUUAGCUAGUUGGUGGGGUAAAGGCCUACCAAGGCGACGAUCUGUAGCGGGUCUGAGAGGAUGAUCCGCCACACUGGAACUGAGACACGGUCCAGACUCCUACGGGAGGCAGCAGUGGGGAAUUUUGGACAAUGGGCGCAAGCCUGAUCCAGCCAUGCCGCGUGAGUGAAGAAGGCCUUCGGGUUGUAAAGCUCUUUCGGCCGGGAAAAAAUCGGUGAGGCUAAUAUCUUCAUCGGAUGAUGGUACCUGAAGAAUAAGCACCGGCUAACUACGUGCCAGCAGCCGCGGUAAUACGUAAGGUGCAAGCGUUUAUCGGAAUUACUGGGCGUAAAGCGUGCGCAUGCGGUCUUGCUAGACAGAUGUGAAAUCCGCG